This 482-nucleotide ribosomal RNA is filed under the name uncultured bacterium. Its description in RNAcentral is "partial 16S ribosomal RNA". It matches the Rfam family "Bacterial small subunit ribosomal RNA", at positions 28 to 523 of the family's 1533-position model. The record is from RNAcentral.
GACGAACGCUGGCGGCGCGCCUAACACAUGCAAGUCGAACGAGAGAUGAGGAGCUUGCUCUUCAGAUCGAGUGGCGAACGGGUGAGUAACGCGUGAGGAACCUGCCUCAAAGAGGGGGACAACAGUUGGAAACGACUGCUAAUACCGCAUAAGCCCACGGCUCGGCAUCGAGCAGAGGGAAAAGGAGUGAUCCGCUUUGAGAUGGCCUCGCGUCCGAUUAGCUAGUUGGUGAGGUAACGGCCCACCAAGGCGACGAUCGGUAGCCGGACCGGGAGGUUGAACGGCCACAUUGGGACUGAGACACGGCCCAGACUCCUACGGGAGGCAGCAGUGGGGAAUAUUGCACAAUGGGGGAAACCCUGAUGCAGCGGCGCCGCGUGGAGGAAGAAGGUCUUCGGAUUGUAAACUCCUGUUGUUGAGGAAGAUAAUGACGGUACUCAACAAGGAAGUGACGGCUAACUACGUGCCAGCCGCCGCCGUAA